Molecule: ribosomal RNA, 1254 nt
Filed under: Oceanobacillus oncorhynchi
Lineage: Bacteria; Bacillati; Bacillota; Bacilli; Caryophanales; Bacillaceae
Description: bacterial SSU rRNA
Rfam family: Bacterial small subunit ribosomal RNA
Source: RNAcentral
AGUAACACGUAGGCAACCUGCCUGUAAGACUGGGAUAACUCGCGGAAACGCGAGCUAAUACCGGAUAACACUUUCUAUCACCUGAUGGAAAGUUGAAAGGCGGCUUUUGCUGUCACUUACAGAUGGGCCUGCGGCGCAUUAGCUAGUUGGUGAGGUAACGGCUCACCAAGGCGACGAUGCGUAGCCGACCUGAGAGGGUGAUCGGCCACACUGGGACUGAGACACGGCCCAGACUCCUACGGGAGGCAGCAGUAGGGAAUCUUCCGCAAUGGACGAAAGUCUGACGGAGCAACGCCGCGUGAGUGAUGAAGGUUUUCGGAUCGUAAAACUCUGUUGUCAGGGAAGAACAAGUACGAUAGUAACUGAUCGUACCUUGACGGUACCUGACCAGAAAGCCACGGCUAACUACGUGCCAGCAGCCGCGGUAAUACGUAGGUGGCAAGCGUUGUCCGGAAUUAUUGGGCGUAAAGCGCUCGCAGGCGGUUCUUUAAGUCUGAUGUGAAAUCUUGCGGCUCAACCGCAAACGUGCAUUGGAAACUGGAGGACUUGAGUGCAGAAGAGGAGAGUGGAAUUCCACGUGUAGCGGUGAAAUGCGUAGAGAUGUGGAGGAACACCAGUGGCGAAGGCGACUCUCUGGUCUGUAACUGACGCUGAGGAGCGAAAGCGUGGGGAGCGAACAGGAUUAGAUACCCUGGUAGUCCACGCCGUAAACGAUGAGUGCUAGGUGUUAAGGGGGUUUCCGCCCCUUAGUGCUGAAGUUAACGCAUUAAGCACUCCGCCUGGGGAGUACGGCCGCAAGGCUGAAACUCAAAAGAAUUGACGGGGACCCGCACAAGCGGUGGAGCAUGUGGUUUAAUUCGAAGCAACGCGAAGAACCUUACCAGGUCUUGACAUCCUUUGACCGCUCUAGAGAUAGAGUUUUCCCUUCGGGGACAAAGUGACAGGUGGUGCAUGGUUGUCGUCAGCUCGUGUCGUGAGAUGUUGGGUUAAGUCCCGCAACGAGCGCAACCCUUAAUCUUAGUUGCCAGCAUUCAGUUGGGCACUCUAAGGUGACUGCCGGUGACAAACCGGAGGAAGGUGGGGAUGACGUCAAAUCAUCAUGCCCCUUAUGACCUGGGCUACACACGUGCUACAAUGGACGGAACAAAGGGAAGCGAACCCGCGAGGUCCAGCAAAUCCCAUAAAACCGUUCUCAGUUCGGAUUGCAGGCUGCAACUCGCCUGCAUGAAGCCGGAAUCGCUAGUAAUCGCGGAU